This 125-nucleotide ribosomal RNA is filed under the name uncultured bacterium. RNAcentral describes it as "partial 16S ribosomal RNA". It matches the Rfam family "Bacterial small subunit ribosomal RNA", at positions 335 to 458 of the family's 1533-position model. The record is from RNAcentral.
ACUCCUACGGGAGGCAGCAGUGGGGAAUAUUGGACAAUGGGCGAAAGCCUGAUCCAGCCAUGCCGCGUGUGUGAAGAAGGGUCUUCGGAUUGUAAAGCACUCUAAGUUGGGAGGAAGGGCAGUAA